UCCCUCAUGGCUUAAAGGGUAAAGAAUCUGCCUGCAAUGCAGGACACCUAGGUUCUAUCCCUAGGUGUUGGGA
RNAcentral lists this transfer RNA (73 nucleotides) under Ovis aries (sheep). It matches the Rfam family "tRNA". Rfam says of the family: Transfer RNA (tRNA) molecules are approximately 80 nucleotides in length. Their secondary structure includes four short double-helical elements and three loops (D, anti-codon, and T loops). Further hydrogen bonds mediate the characteristic L-shaped molecular structure. tRNAs have two regions of fundamental functional importance: the anti-codon, which is responsible for specific mRNA codon recognition, and the 3' end, to which the tRNAs corresponding amino acid is attached (by aminoacyl-tRNA synthetases). tRNAs cope with the degeneracy of the genetic code in two manners: having more than one tRNA (with a specific anti-codon) for a particular amino acid; and 'wobble' base-pairing, i.e. permitting non-standard base-pairing at the 3rd anti-codon position. Lineage: Eukaryota; Metazoa; Chordata; Mammalia; Artiodactyla; Bovidae. The record is from Rfam by way of RNAcentral.